ANNCCCGCGCCUCACCUGGGAAGUGCACUCUGAAACUGUUGAGAGCUAGAGUAGCUGAGAGGGAAGUAGAAUUUCCGUGGUAGCGGGUGAAAUGCGGUAGAGAAUAGAGAGAAUCCCGAGGGGAAGGCAGCUUCUUGGCAUCAUACUGACCAUGAAGCUGGAAAGCGUGGGGGAGCAAACAAGAUUAGAUACCCUGGUAGUUCACGCCGUAAACGAUGUAUACUAGUGUGUGAGUCCCUUUAGGACUUAGUGACGCAGAUAUCGCAAUAAGUAGACUGCGCGGGGAGUACGGCCGCAAGGUUAAAACUCAAAUGAAUUGACGGGGGCCCGCACAAGCGGUGGAGCAUGUGGUUUAAUUUGAUGCAACGCGAAGAACCUUACCUGGUCUUGACAUAUCCUGAAUCAAGCAGAGAUGCGGGAGUUCCUUUUGGAAUUAGAAUACACAUGUUGCAUGGCUGUGUUCAGCUCGUGUCGUGAGAUGUUGGGUUAAGUCCCGCAACGAGCGCAACCCUUGUCCUUAGUUACCAGCGGGUUAAGCCGGGAACUCUAAGGAUACUGCCAGUGACAACUGGAGGAAGGCGGGGACGACGUCAAGUCAUCAUCCCCCUUACGACCAGGGCUACACACGUGUUCCAAUGGUAGGUACAGAGGGCAGAUGCACAGGGAGGUGAUGCGAAUCUCAAAAAGCCUUUUCUAGUCCGGAUUGGAGUUUGCAAUUGGACUCCAGGAAGUGGGAAUCGUUGGUAAUCGGGGAUCACAAUGCCGCGGGGAAUAGGUUCCCGGCCUUGGUACCCCCCCCCCGUCACGCCCAGGGUUUGCUUUACCUUAGAUCGUUAGUCAACCAGUCGUAGCAAGGUAACCACUAGAGUU
Molecule: ribosomal RNA, 870 nt
Filed under: bacterium 21F07-MB2-10
Lineage: Bacteria
Description: bacterial SSU rRNA
Rfam family: Bacterial small subunit ribosomal RNA
Source: RNAcentral